This 1132-nucleotide long non-coding RNA is filed under the name Heterocephalus glaber (naked mole-rat). RNAcentral's name for it is "lncRNA (ENSHGLG00100050093.1)". Lineage: Eukaryota; Metazoa; Chordata; Mammalia; Rodentia; Bathyergidae. The record is from RNAcentral.
CAGAUAGACACAUACACAUACAUUUGUGGAGUUUCUGUCUCUUCCCAUACAAUACCCUAGAUCACCUCCAGAUUUUAGCAACAAUAAGGCCACUACUAGAUGUGCCACCUCAACCAUGUACCUCCAGAAAUGUGAGCCAAAAUGAAACACUUCUCAUUAUAAAGUAGCCUACCUCAGUUUUUUCAUUGUAGUAAGGAAAAAUGAUGCGUUUUGACAAAUGUGUACUCUCUUAUAACCCACACCUCCAACAAUAUUUAGAACAUUUUUAACUCUAAAAAAUUCCCUUAUUCCUCUUCCUAAUUAUCACCCCUUCCAGAAGCAAAUGCUCUUCUGGUUUUUGUUUUUCAUGUUACAUUUGUUUUUCUACCCAAGAUUUUUAAUAUAGUUUUUUGAAAUCUAGUCAGGAAAUUCAUAUAUAAAAAUCAUGGAAUGUGUUUAUUGUGUCUAGCUUUUUCACUCAGCAUAAUGAUAGUAUCUAUCAGAUUUAUCCAUGUUUGGGGAUAUAUGCACAUUUCUUUUUCUUGUGGAUAGUUUUUCAUUGUUUGAAGAUAUUACACUUGGCUUAUCCAUUCUUUUUAGAAUAUCUGUAGUUUUAGCUUUUAUAUUUAUGUCCAUGAUUUACUUUGAUGUAGAGGUUAUGUUUCUGUUACCUGAAUGUUCCCCAAAGCCUCUUGUGUUCAUAGGUGGGGCUUUUGGAAGGUGAUUGGAUUAUAGAAGCCUGAUAAUCAUCAGCAAAUUACUCUGUCAAGAUCUUAUUUCAAACUAUGCUAACUCAAUAUCAUAUGACUUUGAUCAUUGUUACGGUGUGUUCAAUUUUCUAGACAUGCCAAGUCCAUCUUAUUACCUGGGAGUAAGUUUGGAUAUUGUCCUCUUUAUUUUUCACUAUUCCGUCUCACAGGAAUUUUAGUUGUUACUACAAUAAAUCUAUAAGCAUAGGGGACAUGUCCUGAGAAACAUGUCAGGCAAUUUUAUCAGUGUGCAAACAGCAAUAGAGUGGGUAUACUUACACAAAUUAAGAUAGUUACAAUGAAGGUGGAUGAUAUAAUCUUAUGGGGGCAAUAUCUUAAAUGUGCCCUACCAUUGAUCAAAACCUUAUGUGGCUCAUGAGUGUACUAAAACUUCUAAAAAUUGC